GACGAACGCUGGCGGCGUGCCUAAUACAUGCAAGUAGAACGCUGAAGGAAGGAGCUUGCUCUUUCCGGAUGAGUUGCGAACGGGUGAGUAACGCGUAGGUAACCUGCCUGGUAGCGGGGGAUAACUAUUGGAAACGAUAGCUAAUACCGCAUAACAGUAGAUAUCGCAUGAUAUGUGCUUGAAAGGUGCAAUUGCACCACUACCAGAUGGACCUGCGUUGUAUUAGCUAGUUGGUGAGGUAACGGCUCACCAAGGCAACGAUACAUAGCCGACCUGAGAGGGUGAUCGGCCACACUGGGACUGAGACACGGCCCAGACUCCUACGGGAGGCAGCAGUAGGGAAUCUUCGGCAAUGGACGGAAGUCUGACCGAGCAACGCCGCGUGAGUGAAGAAGGUUUUCGGAUCGUAAAGCUCUGUUGUAAGAGAAGAACGAGUGUGAGAGUGGAAAGUUCACACUGUGACG
This 464-nucleotide ribosomal RNA is filed under the name Streptococcus infantis. Its description in RNAcentral is "bacterial SSU rRNA". It matches the Rfam family "Bacterial small subunit ribosomal RNA", at positions 28 to 474 of the family's 1533-position model. The record is from RNAcentral. Lineage: Bacteria; Bacillati; Bacillota; Bacilli; Lactobacillales; Streptococcaceae.